GCAUUUUCUUUCACCGUAGCUUGCUACACCGAAAGAAAAUGAGUGGCGAACGGGUGAGUAACACGUGGGUAACCUGCCCAUCAGCGGGGGAUAACACUUGGAAACAGGUGCUAAUACCGCAUAAUUYCAUUUACCGCAUGGUAGAUGGAUGAAAGGCGCUUUUGCGUCACUGAUGGAUGGACCCGCGGUGCAUUAGCUAGUUGGUGGGGUAACGGCCUACCAAGGCUGCGAUGCAUAGCCGACCUGAGAGGGUGAUCGGCCACACUGGGACUGAGACACGGCCCAGACUCCUACGGGAGGCAGCAGUAGGGAAUCUUCGGCAAUGGACGCAAGUCUGACCGAGCAACGCCGCGUGAGUGAAGAAGGUUUUCGGAUCGUAAAACUCUGUUGUUAGAGAAGAACAAGGAUGAGAGUGGAAAGUUCAUCCCUUGACGGUAUCUAACCAGAAAGCCACGGCUAACUACGUGCCAGCAGCCGCGGUAAUACGUAGGUGGCAAGCGUUGUCCGGAUUUAUUGGGCGUAAAGCGAGCGCAGGCGGUCUUUUAAGUCUGAUGUGAAAGCCCCCGGCUUAACCGGGGAGGGUCAUUGGAAACUGGGAGACUUGAGUGCAGAAGAGGAAAGCGGAAUUCCAUGUGUAGCGGUGAAAUGCGUAG
RNAcentral lists this ribosomal RNA (653 nucleotides) under Enterococcus cecorum. RNAcentral's name for it is "bacterial SSU rRNA". It matches the Rfam family "Bacterial small subunit ribosomal RNA", at positions 68 to 693 of the family's 1533-position model. Lineage: Bacteria; Bacillati; Bacillota; Bacilli; Lactobacillales; Enterococcaceae. The record is from RNAcentral.